UACGUAGGGGCUAGCGUUAUCCGGAAUUACUGGGCGUAAAGGGUGCGUAGGUGGUUUCUUAAGUCAGAGGUGAAAGGCUACGGCUCAACCGUAGUAAGCCUUUGAAACUGGGAAACUUGAGUGCAGGAGAGGAGAGUGGAAUUCCUAGUGUAGCGGUGAAAUGCGUAGAUAUUAGGAGGAACACCAGUUGCGAAGGCGGUUCUCUGGACUGUAACUGACACUGAGGCACGAAAGCGUGGGGAGCAAACAGGAUUAGAUACCCCGGUAGUCCCUGAGCGGGCUGG
Molecule: ribosomal RNA, 284 nt
Filed under: uncultured prokaryote
Description: partial 16S ribosomal RNA
Rfam family: Bacterial small subunit ribosomal RNA
Source: RNAcentral